UUUCCUCCUAAACCGAUGAAAACCAGUCAAAAACCUCUCUCCAAUCCAAGUUUUAAAAUUCUAGUGUGUGAACAAACCGUUGAUAUCAAAAGAGAGAGAAGUGCUUUAGGAACCAGUUGGAGGUAAAAGAUUAGAAAAUCUCCAAAUUCCAAAGCAGUCAGGUGCAGAUUAAUUCUGAUGAAACCAUUGUUGCAAGUCUCUUUUGGCUGCCCGUUCCACCAUAAAUGACGCUUUCUCUAUCCAGUACGGCUAGAUCGAGAAUCGACAACCUUCUCCAGCCAGUGCGUGAGCAAUGAUGUUGGCUUGUCUUCCAGCAAAACAAAAGGUGACUUUUGCAAAUAUCCCCAAUUUUGCCUUAAUAUCUUGAACAAUCGGGCUAAUGAUAGACUUGUCUAAUGUAGGAGAAUUCAAUUUCCCAGUGACAGUAAGUGAAUUGCCCUCCAUCUGUACUGAUCAAAAUCCUAACUCAGCCGCAAAGAUGAUGGCCUACUCAUACGCCCGUGCUUCGGCAAUGAAGGCAUCAGUAACACCAUGGUGGGGGUAAGUACAUGCAACCAUAAUAAGACCUGAAGAAUUUAUAGCCAGUACUCUUGAGAUAGAAGUUUUUGUAUUAGGGCUAAAAGAUGCAUCAAAAUUAAGUUUAAUACUGUCAGAACCUGGUGGUACACAUUUCUCCUGUUUAGGUAAAAAAACUGAUGGAUUUAGUUCACCCAGAGCCUCUAGCUCUACUAGGUGUGCCUUAAUAAACACUGUCAAACCCUGCACUAAUUAUCUAACACCUUCAUGAGCAAGCUUAUUUCAUGCAUGCCAAACCAAAUUGCCCAGUAAGAUAUCACCAAUAACUUCUCUAAUCUUGUGUUAGGUUGCAUGAAAACCUCUGCUAACCAUGUUUUAUAAUCUGAAUUAUGUGAGGUAAGGAUAGUCGUAACAUUCAAUGAGUCUAGAACUUUCUUGGAAACAGAGCAAUGUCGUAACAAAUGGUCAAUAGAUUCUUCAGCUGAAUUGCACAAGGGACAGACAUUUUUAACUUGUAGUUUUCUGCGUUGUAAAUUAUCAAAAGUUGGUUGAUAAUUUUUUGCGAAUCUCUAUACUUCAAUCUUGAUUUUUGUUCAGAGCUGUAGUGCCUACAAAUUAAUGUAGAAUGUUGUAACUAAAUUAGGCAUGGCUGUAGAACGUAGACCCUUGUUUUGUAACUCUUCGUCUAGCAGAAGCCUGUAACCACUCUUAGAAGAAUAUUCACCAAAACCUUCAUGUCUCCACACCAAUUUGUCUAUUGGCUUUGAUUGGGCAAGUGGAGUACAUAGGAUUCUCUCUACAUGGUCUUCAUAAAAAAAGAGUCUCACUCUUUCUUCUACCCAGGUAUUGGAAUUAUGAUUAAUUAAUUUUGAUACUUUUGUGUACCUGAUAUCUAUGUUCUGAACCUGUAUUCUUUCAUUUCCAGGUCCAGGGAUUCAAGAAUCAUUCCAGAUAUUUAUAUUCUCACCUAUGCCAAUUCUCCAACCGACUCCCUUUUUGAUUAAACCCCGAGCACUCAAAAUACUUCUCUAGGUAAAUGAAGGGUAAGCACUUAACUGAACAUUCAUAAAUUCUAAAUCCAGGUAAUACCUGACUUUCAUUACUUGUGCCAACAAACUCAAUGGAUUAGAUAAAAUACGCUAACAUUGUUUGGCUAGCAAAGCAUCGUUAAACUUAGUCAAAUCACGAAAACUUAAUCCUCCACAAACUUUCGGUAAAUAGAGUGAAUGCCAUGUACUCCAAUGAAUACCAUUAGAUGAUUUGUUGUUUCCCCACCAAAAUUUGUUGAGAAUGUUUUCCAGUUUACUACACAUAAUUUUAGGUAGAAGAAAACAUUGCAUUGUAUAUAGAGGUAUAGCUUGUAGUAUCGCCUUAAUAAACACCUCUUUGCUACCCAUAGAUAGAUAUCUUAUACUACAACAUUCAACUUUCUUGCUAAAUCGAUUCAGAUAAUGGUGAAAGGCCUCUUUCUUACGUCUGCCAACCAUCGUAGGUAAACCUAGGUAUUUCUCCGGAUUAGUCGACACUUAUACUCCCGAAACACCACCUAUGAGGUCCCUAAUUGAACUUUCCAUAUUCAAACUGACAUAAAUUAGGGAUUUAUCAUAGUUAACCUUUUGGCCAAAAGCAUUUUCGUACUCUGUAAUAAUUUGUCGUAUUAUCUUUGCACCAAUAAUUGAAGCAUCUCUGAACAGUAUGCAAUCAUUCGCAAAAAACAGAUGGUUGAUUGCCAACCUUCCUAUUCCAAUCUAAGCCUUUUUAUCAAACCAGAUCUACUAGCCUCAUUUAGGGCUGUAAAUGAACCGAGCUUGAAUGAAAAACCUUUGUCCAUGUUCGUUUGUUUAUUUUUAAGCUUGUUCGUGUUCAGUUUGUGUUCUUUAAGAAUUUCAAAUUUUUGUUCAUGUUCGUUUAUUUAAAAUUAUGUAUGUUCAUGUUCGUUUGUUUAAUGUUCACAAACAUGUUCAUUUAACUUAAUUGAACAUGUUCACGAGCAAUGUUAAUAAAUAAUAAACAAACAAACAAUAAAUACAUACACACACAUAUAUUAUUUAGAUAUAAAAUAGUCAAAUAUAAAUAUUAAUAAUUAUAUUAUAAAUGAAAAAAAUACAAACCAAGAUAAUUUUAUUAAUAUAUACUAAUGGAACAAUAAAUGAGUUUUAAGAUAAUUUUAUUAAUAUAUACUAAUGGAAUUUUUAUAAGAAAAUCAUUAAUAAAUAAAUGAGUCAAUAAACGAGCUUGUUCGUGAACAUAAACGAAUCGAACAUACAUCUAUUUGUGUUUGUUUGUUUAUUAAACGAACAUAAAAAUUUUGUUCAUGCUCGUUUAUUUAGCUUAAUAAACGAACAUUAUACGAACGGUUCACGAACAGUUCAUCAAACGUUCUGUUCAUUUACACCCCUAGCCUCAUUAAGAAUGGUAGAAAAGCCCUCAACAUGCAAUAUAAAUAAAUAGGGAUUAUGUGGGUCUUUUUGUCGUAGCCUCUUGAAAGGUAGGAACUUGUCGCUGACUUCUUCAUUAAUGAUCAUCAAAAAUGGGAAAUAUCAACCGAGUCCAAACAUUGCCGAAGAACUGAAAAAAUUUCCAAAUAGCAAUCUUUCUCAGAAACAAGUUCAGCAAUUUCUUGGAAUUGUUAAUUAUCUCAGGGAUUUUAUUCCCAAGAUAGCAAAAUUAACAAAUUUUUUAAGGAAGAUGCUAAAGAAAGAUUCACCGCCCUGGAAGUCCAAACAGAUAAAAGCCAUUAGACAAUUGAAAGAAAAGGCAGCCCACCUGCCACCAUUACAAAUUCCUUCCAAAGAGAAACGAAUUUUGCAAACAGACGCAAGUGAUAAAUACUAGGGAGCAAUUCUCUUUGAAAAAGACAAUGGAAAAAGAAGACUUUGUGGAUAUAAAAGUGGAAGGUUCUCAGAUGCAGAAAUCCAUUAUCACUCUACUUUCAAGGAAAUCCUUGCAGUGAAAUAUGGAAUUACCAAAUUUCAGUUUCAUCUAACAGGAUAUCAUUUCCUUGUUGAAAUGGAUAUGUUAUCUUUUCCAAAAAUGAUAAAGUUCAAACAGAAAGAAGUUCCUCAUCCACAACUUCUCCGCUAGGCAGAAUGGUUCUCUAGAUUCUCUUUUGAUGUCAUUCUUAUUAAAGGUAAGGAUAAUGUUAUCGCUGACAUCCUAACCAGAUUACCUGAAACCACCCAUGUUUCGAAUCCAAAACCUGUUGAAGUGUUCAUGUUUCAACCAUCAUCUUCAAAGAAAAAAGGAAAACAGAAACAACAGCCACCACCAUCACCAUUCUCCAUUCCUUGUAAACCAAACACUCAUCCUGAUCAUCCUCCUGAAGUUUUGAGUUUAAUCCUCGAGAAAAGAUUUCAUAAAGAAGCCAUGAAUAUGAUGCUUUCCUACCAAUUAAACCUCUUUAGGAAUUUUGGGGGAUUAUUUCUUAAACCUUUAGGACUUCAUCGUGAAUACCCUUUCAAAAACCCAAUCAAAUUCCAGUUUGGUGAAUUCCCAGAAGAAUUAAAAUGGAUGUUGUGGUAUUUAACUCAUCUCUUUCAUAUAGGAAUUGAGUUUUUUAUCCAUGAUCUCCAACAUUUCUUGACAUUGGCAAUCAAUAAUGAAGAAGCCCCUGAAAUGAUAAAUCUGGCUACAUUUCUAAAAUGGUUCCAUCCUUUGGAACAAUGGCAAUAUAUGCUCAUGUUUGAGUUUCUCAAAAACACACGUGUCCAAUGGAUCGUAACCAUUUUUUACAAACCUCAAUAUUUCAUGCAACAUGGACCAGCUACACAGCUUGCUGCCUUACCCAGCACAUGGAUCCACAAAACAUAUUUUGAUGAGGUAUAUGAAAAUCCUUUUGAUAUUAAGAAUUUACAAAAAUAUUUAUGUCAGAUUAACAGGAUUAUCCCUUCAGAAAUAUGCCAGUUGAGACAAGCCCUUCAAGAAUAUUGGACAAAUAUACCAGAUCCUAAAGAAUGGUCUCAAGAUUAUCCUAUGCAUUGCAGCCAAGUUAUUCAAGAUUUUCAAGAUCUUUAAGAAAUAGUUGCCUGGAAAGAUAUUCAUGAAACAAAAGAAUCAAGCCAAAAUUCAAAAGCAAAAGCCCCUUUUACUGACAAUGAUGUGAUACCACCAGAUGAUCUCGAAACACGAAUUGAACAGCUGGAGCUCAAAUGUUAUGAAGCACGUGAAGAAAAGAAAAGGAAAAUAAUAGAGCUCAACAUCACAUCUGACAUUGACACAGAUUAUGGCACUAUUGGGUCAGAAUCCGAGACAUCAGGAUAAGAUUCCUAUCUAUCUGCUGAGUCAUGUCCUUUACUUUCCUUUAAGUCCUGUCUGUAAUUAGUAUGUUUGUAAAGCAGAUUCCUAUCUAUCUGCUCGUAUAACUUUUCAUACCUAUAUAAGGAUGAAAGAACUCCAGUUGUAAAAAAAGAGAACUACUACGACCAGAAAUAAAAUAUUAGUGUACUUAUAAAAAUAUGUCUUUCUAAACCUCUCUAAUCUUUUCCUCCAUGGAUAUGGAAUAUUUUUGAAAGAAAAUCUCUCAUGAGUUUAAGAGUAUGCUCUGUGCUUGCCAUACUAUGGAUCCUGCACAUCAGAAAUUAAACUUAAGAUAAAAGAUAUCAUUAAGUCCAGUUGAGUUUGAAGUAGUCUGAAUUAAUAGUGAUUAACAGCUAAAGGCAGAGCCUUGUUGAUGGCCGUAAAAGAGGAAAAGGCCUGUGUUUUGGCUUUGCAUACCUGCUGUUAUGAACUAUUAAUCUCAGAUAUCCCAACUUCUUACUCACCUGCCCGUAAUGGUAUCAGAGCCAGUAACUCUUAGAUUUUCUUUCAUUAAAAAUCCAGACUCAGAAAGGAAAAAAAAUUCUCAUAUAUGGAAACCUCUUCUCAAUUAUCUACUAGCAAAACACCUCUCUCUCUCCCAGAAUCACCUUUUAAAUUCCAUUCUACAAAAAAGAUUUCUUCUUUGUAUGAAGUUGAAUACUUCACAGAAGAAGAAAAAGUUCAAGCUACUAAUCUUCCUCUUGUAAAUCCAAACUCUACUUAUCAAAAGCCUUCCUUUUUACCUAUAAAAAGUAUCAAGUCUCUUAUUACCACUAGAAGAAAAGCUGUUAAAGAAUAUGUCCAGUCCUCUAAAUUUGAUAAACAUCUUAUUUAUGGAGGACAAGAAGAACAGUUUAUCACACUGGAAAUCCCAUCUCAUUUCCCUCAGGAAUGGUGCCAACAUGGUUACUCUCAUAUUCAUUUUGGAGCAGUACAACUGGCGCUUAAUUAUCAUGGAACUUCAGGGAAACCUGUUAUAUCCAGAAUAGCCCUCAUUGAUUCAAGGUAUAAGCGUUACCAAGAUGCUUGUAUUGGAACUGUUGAAGCAACGUUGAGUUCAGGAAUGGCUAUGGUAAAACUUUUCCCCAACUUUACCAUGUCACUACAAGAUCCUAAUCUGCUAGAUACACUGAAAGUACAAAUCCAGAUAGUUGGUGUAGAGAUGGUUGAAUCAGCAGUCUCAGCAACCCUACAUUAUCAGAUAGUGUAUAGGGUUCAAGAUCAUGCAUUUAAGUUGACCAAUCAAGGAUCUGAUGAUUCGCUUCUCAUUUCUGUCAAUACAAGAGAAGAGCCUCAUUGUAUUCAUGUACCUAAGCAGAUACCCAAGCAAGAGCUUUUAAAACUUCUUCCAGAAAAAUGGGUAACCAAUUACGAGCAGAUCCAUCAACACAAUCAGCCGAGUAGAUCUACCAAAAGCCAGAUUAUCACAAAAGCUGAUGGAACCAGUGAAAUCAGAUUUGACCACAGUCAUUUAAAGCAAUUCCCGACUCCACCUGUUUUUACCACACAAAUGAUGUUACAACCAGUAACACCGGAGGAAACAAUACCAGGACCAGAAGCAGCACUUAUUCAAAGCUUUCAGUCUGAUGGGAAACCUUUAUAUUGCUUUAAAGAUCCCUCAGGACAUUGUCCUUGGGAUAUCAACUGUUCCUGUGAAGGAUGCAAAAAUGAUGUCUUUGAAGAACUUGAUGAAGACAUUAAACGCACCCGAAGAAAAAGAAAUGGCAAAAAACCAACGCAGUCAAAUUUCUAUGAAAGAUGGAUGAAUGGAGACCCAAACAUUGGCCCUUUAGGAGAAGAUAAUGGCAAAUUUGUCUAUCUUGUAGAUUAUUCUGCAAAAAGGCCACAGCCUCCUAAAGUCCAACAUCAACCACGGAUGCCUCCACCAUCUCCUCCAAAAGCAUAUCCAGACCAAAAAUGGUUAGCUAAACCCUUGAAGCAACCAUGCUACAAAAGAAUCAAUUAAUGGAUCCAGAAAAAUGAUCAAUUCAUGACAGGCAAUCAAGAAGAACAAAAAAUUACUGCAACUCCAGCAACAAUACCUAUUCAGACAAUCCCAGAAGUUCGGAUGUACACAAGAACUUCUUCCUAUGAUCAAGAAUUUCCACCACUUGAAGAGUUCACAAAAAAUGAAUAUCUUCAUGUUCCAAAUUUUUUUUCAAAACUCCAAACAGAUGCAGAAGGAAAACAAGUCAAGAUAGCAGCAGCAGAAGCCACUUUGAAUUGGCAGACAGAAAAUGCCUUAUCCUAGAACGCUGCAAUCAAGAAGAUUGAUCAUAAGGUUAUGCAGAUUGACAACAAAGUUUCAAAGAUUGAAAGAACAACUGAUGAAAAUGCUGAGAUGAUCAAAAAUCUCAUAAAGCUGUUUCAGAAAAGGCUUAAAGAAGUCGCUCAUGAACCAGCUGCCCCAGGACAGGAUUUAUUCUCUCAUCUUGUACAGAGAGAAAAAGAAAUUCAGAAUCUUAAAGAACAGAUCAAGUAUCUGAAAGAAAAUGGAAAGCUGCCACCACCACAACCAUCAAGAAAUGAAAUUGAACUUUUUCCAUCCAUAAGACAGUUUGACAGCCCUCGACCGACUGGGACACAACCGCUUAUUUUUCCUCCACCUGAGCCAAAAAAGAAGGCCUCAAUCAAUGAUUUGUAUCAACAGAUCAAGGCACAAAAGGAAGAAUAAAAAAGAAAGGCUACAGAAGAAAAAAGAAAAAAGGAGAAGGCGAGAGGAAAAAGACCAGUGGAGAAACAAGAUGAUGAAGAAAGUCAAUUCUCUUCACCACCAACAUCUCCACCACCAAAACAGACAUCUAAGUCAUUAAUGAUGCAAAAUGACAAAAAAAUACUCUAAUCCUUUAACUAGGUUUUUAAGGGAUUAUAGUCAUAAUAUCUUGCCAAAGAUAUCUGUUCUCCGCCAACAAUCAGAAAAAAACUCCAGUACCAGAUUUUCUAGAAGAAUCAGUAUUCUCCUCAGAAGAAUCAGAAAGUCUUGAUAAUUCAGAAUCACCUGAUGAUGAAUCCAACGAUCUCUCAGAAGAAAGAACCACUGAAAACAGAGAAGAGUUACCAGAUGUAAUGGCCACCCCUGGUGUAAAAGUUGAAGAAGUAUCUGAAUAAGAGCUAAUGACUGAAACAGGAGAACUAUCAAAUGCGAGAUUAGCACCACAUAUUUUUACAACAAAGAUGGUUUUCACUUUGGACGAUAUUCCAAUCAAUAGAUGGCCAGAAAGAUUACAAGAAUUCCACUCAAUGCUUUACACCAGAAAGCUGAUAGAAGAAAGCCAUUAUAACAUCCUGACUGAAUUUGUAUCAAGAUUCACAGGAAUGUUAAAGGAUUGGUGGAAUUCAGUAGCUCAACCAGAUCAACUACAAUUCUUAGUAUUAACAGAUUUUUCUCAAGCUAUAAGGAUUAUCCAUAGUUAUUUUAUUGGUAAUCCUGAUGAUCUGCUGACACUCAAGAGACGAGAAUUCUUCAAACGGAAAUGUUGCUCUUACCAGAAAAAAGACUUAUCUAAGCAUUUUUAUGCUAUGAUGAAGCUCUUUUAUGCCCUUGGAUCAGAACCAAGUCUGAAACAAGCCGUUUUUGCAUCCCUUCCAGACCCUAUCCAAGCUGCGAUCAAUCAAAAUCUUUACAGGCAAAACAAAAACAUCCUCAAUUUGACCAUGGGUGAAAUCCAGCAAGAAAUAUUUAUUGCCCUUGAAAACAUUUGCAAUAGAAGUAAAGUUUUCAAGGAUUAUCUUCAUGGUGACAGAAGGAUAGACAAAGCCUGUACUGACUCACACCUCAAAAUUAAAUGUGGCAAGGAAGACAAAUCAUGUUAUUGUCCCACAAAGAAGAAGCAUUUCUGAAAGGAAAGAAAGUUUUCAAGAUCAAUUCCCAAAAGAAAAUACCGAUGGAGAUACCUCAAAAAGAAGAAAUUUUCUAAAAAAGGAAAAUUCACGAGGUGUUACAUCUGCAACAAAAAAGGUCACUUUGCAAAAGAUUAUCCAAAGAACAAAAAAGGAGCAAAGAUGAUCAGACAAAUCCAGCAGAAGUCGGGAAUGAAGAUAACUGAAGAAGAUGAUAUUGAGUCAUUGUUCUCCAUUGAUGAUGAACCAAACGAUUAGUCAAUAUGUGCAAUUCAAAGUUUUGUAGAUAGUGACUACUCAGAAGACUCAGAAUCCUCUUCAUCUGAAUCAUUGAUGAUCCAACCACCAAUGGACUGUCAUUUUCUCUCAGGGACCCCUCAAAUUGCUACCACAGCCGCUGAGAUUUUGGCUCAUCAUAUUCUAGUUUCUAUCUAGUUGAGUAAAUACAGUAGACCUAUUACUGUAAUUGCCUUCAUAGACACUGGAGCCGCAGAAUCUAUCAUCAACCCAGAAAUCCUCCCAGAUGAGUAUUGGGAACCCCAUAUUAGGUAUUUUAGUUUAGCAUCAAGAAAGGUCUUUACGACAAAUCUUAAAAGCAAACCCAUCAAGAUCCAGUUCUUUCCCAAUUGCUCCAUCACUAUAGCAAUAUUGGGUUCAAAGCUUCCUGAAAAAGAUCUUAUUGUUGGUUUUGAUUUAUAUCUUAAAGCCAAAUAAUUAAGAAUUUUACCAGAAGGAUUGAGGUACAAACAUAUGUUCAAACCCUAUGUACCAAUCCCCAGACUAUUCACUAUAGAUGCUGACAAAAUACAUCAAGUUGUUGAAGAACUGAAACAGAAGGCAUGUGUAGAAUUUCAUUCAAAUUUUCUGAAAAAAUGCGAUCAUCCUUUAUAGAAAAAUUUAGAGUUCUUCAUCAAAUUGCCUUUCAAGAAGAAUGAAGAUAUCAAUCCCACCAAGGCUAGUCAUGUUGGAAUGAAUCCAGAUCAUCUCAAGCUGGCUGAAAAAGAAUGUCAACAAUUACAAGUAGAAGGAUUGAUAGAAGCCUCAGAAUCACAAUGGGCAUGUGAAGCAUUCUAUGUCAACAAAAGAUCUGAACAAGCCCGUGGAAAGUUGAGACUGGUAAUCAACUAUUAGCCUCUCAAUCAUUUUCUUCAAGAUGACAAAUUUCCUGUGCCCAAUAAAAAAUACAUAUUUUCAAGUCUUGCGAAAGCCCAGAUCUUUUCAAAAUUUGACUUGAAAGCACGAUUUUGGCAAUUGGGUAUAGAUCCUAAAGAUAAGCCCAAAACAGGUUUCUGUAUCCCAAAUAAACAUUAUCAAUGGACCGUGAUGCCCUUUGGACUCAAGACAGCUCCCUCGAAAUUCCAAAAGGCAAUGAUCAAAAUUUUUUAGCCCAUUAUGGAUCAAGCAUUGAUCUAUAUUGAUGCCAUCCUACUCUACAACCCAGAUGAAAAAGAUCAUGCAAUUCUCCUCAACCAAUUCAAACAAAUUAUUCUUGAUCAAGGAAUAAUACUUUCUGAAAGGGAAAUGCAGAUCAACAAAGAAAUUCGGGAUAUCUGAGAUUAAUAGUUCAUAACAGCAGGUAUGCAAAGCCAAAACACAGGCCUUUUCCUCUUUUACGGCCAUCAACAAGGCUCUGCCUUUUAGCUGUUAAUCACCAUUAAUUCAGACUACUUCAAACUCAACUAGACUUAAUGAUAUCUUUUAUCUUAAGUUUAAUUUCUGAUGUGCAGGAUCCAUAGUAUGGCAAGCACAGAGCAUACUCUUAAACUCAUGAGAGAUUUUCUUUCAAAAAUAUUCCAUAUCCAGGCAGGAAAAGAUCAGAGAGGUUUAGAAAGACAUAUUUUUAUAAGCACACUAAUAUUUUAUUUCUGGUCGUAGUAGUUCUCCUUUUUUACGACUGGGGUUCUUUCAUUCUUAUAUAGGUAUGAAAAGUUAUACGAGCAGAUAGAUAGGAAUCUGCUUUACAAACAUACUAAUUACAGACAGGACUUAAAGGAAAGUAAAUGACAUGACUCAGCAGAUAGAUAGGAAUCUGCUUUACAAACAUACUAAUUACAGACAGGACUUAAAGGAAAGUAAAGGACAUGACUCAGCAGAUAGAUAGGAAUCUGCUUUACAAACAUACUAAUUACAGACAGGACUUAAAGGAAAGUAAAGGACAUGACUCAGCAGAUGGAUAGGAAUCUUAUCUUGAUGUCUCGGAUUCUGACCCAGUAGUGCCAUAAUCUGUGUCAAUGUCAGAUGUGAUGUUGAGCUCUAUUAUUUUUCUUUUCUUUUCUUCACGUGCUUCAUAACAUUUGAGCUCCAGUUGUUCAAUUCGUGUUUUGAGAUCAUUUGGUGGUAUCACAUCAUUGUUAGUAAAAGGGGCUUUUGCUUUCGAAUUUUGGCUUGAUUCUUUUGUUUCAUGAAUAUCUUUCCAAGCAGCUAUUUCUUGAAGAUCUUAGAAAUCUUGAAUAACUUGGCUGCAAUGCAUAGGAUAAUCUUGGGACCAUUCUUUAAGAUCUGGUAUAUUUGUCCAAUAUUCUUGAAGGGCUUGUCUCAACUGGUUUUGGUAUGGUGUUGGUGGAUUUCUUUUAACAUCCCAUGGUGCUUGUGAAUUUCCUGAAGGCCAUAUUUCUGAAGGGAUAAUUUUGUUAAUCUGGCAUAAAUAUUUUUGUAAAUUCUUAAGAUCAAAUGGAUUUUCAUACACCUCAUCAAAAUAUGUUUUAUGGAUCCAUGUGUUGGGUAAGGCAGCAAGCUGUGUAGCUGGUCCAUGUUGCAUGAAGUAUUGAGGUUUGUAAAAAAUAAUUACGAUCCAUUGGACACGUGUGUUUUUGAGAAACUCAAACAUGAGCAUAUCUUGCCAUUGUUCUAAAGGAUAGAACCAUUUUAGAAAUGUAGCCAGGUUUGUCAUUUCAGGGGCUUCUUCAUUAUUGAUUGCCAAUGUCAAGAAAUGUUGGAGAUCAUGGAUAAAAAACUCAAUUCCUAUAUGAAAGAGAUGAGUUAAAUACCACAACAUCCAUUUUAAUUCUUCUGGGAAUUCACCAAACUGGAAUUUGAUUGGGUUUAUGAAAGGGUAUUCAGGAUGAAGUCCUAAAGGUUUAAGAAAUAAUCCCCCAAAAUUCCUAAAGAGGUCUAAUUGGUAGGAAAGCAUCAUAUUCAUGGCUUCUUUAUGAAAUCUUUUCUCGAGGAUUAAACUUAAAACUUCAGGAGGAUGAACAGGAUGAGUGUUUGGUUUACAAGGAAUGGAGAAUGGUGGUGGUGGUGGCUGUUGUUUCUGUUUUCCUUUUUUCUUUGAAGAGGAUGGUUGAAACAUGAACACUUCAACAGGUUUUGGAUUAGAAACAUGGGUGGUUUCAGGUAAUCUGGUUAGGAUGUCAGCGAGAACAUUAUCCUUACCUUUAAUAUGAAUGACAUCAAAGGAGAAUCUAGAGAACCAUUCUGCCCAGCGGAGAAGUUGUGGAUGAGGAACUUCUUUCUGUUUGAACUUUAUCAUUUUUGGAAAAAAUGACAUAUCCAUUUCAACAAGGAAAUGAUAUCCUGUUAGAUGAAACUGGAAUUUGGUAAUUCCAUAUUUCACUGUAAGGAUUUCCUUGAAAGUAGAGUGAUAAUGGAUUUCUGCAUCUGAGAACCUUCCACUUUUAUAUCUACAAAGUAUUCUUUUUCCAUUGUCUUCUUCAAAGAGAAUUGCUCCCCAGUAUUUAUCACUUGCGUCUGUUUGCAAAAUUUGUUUCUCUUUGGAAGGAAUUUGUAAUGGUGGCAGGUGGGCUGUCUUUUCUUUCAAUUGUCUAAUGGCUUUUGUCUUUUUGGACUUUCAGGGCGGUGGAUCUUUCUUUAGCAUCUUCCUUAAAGAAUUUGUUAAUUUUGCUAUCUUGGGAAUAAAAUCCCUGAGAUAAUUAACAAUUCCAAGAAAUUGCUGAACUUGUUUCUGUGAAAGAUUGCUAUCUGGAAAUUUUUUCAGUUCUUCGGCAAUGUUUGGACUCGGUUGAUAUUUCCUAUUUUUGAUGAUCAUUCCCAAAAACUCAAUUUCUUCUUUGUUGAUCUGCAUUUUCCUUUCAGAAAGCAUUAUUCCUUGAUCAAGAAUAAUUUGUUUGAAUUGGUUGAGGAGAAUUGCAUGAUCUUUUUCAUCUGGGCUGUAGAGUAGGAUGUCAUCAAUAUAGAUCAAUGCUUGAUCCAUAAUGGGCUAAAAAAUUUUGAUCAUUGUCUUUUGGAAUUUCGAGGGAGCUGUCUUGAGUCCAAAGGGCAUCACGGUCCAUUGAUAAUGUUUAUUUGGGAUACAGAAACCUGUUUUGGGCCUGUCUUCAGGAUCUAUACCCAAUUGCCAAAAUCGUGCUUUCAAGUCAAAUUUUGAAAAGAUCUGGGCUUUCGCAAGACUUGAAAAUAGGCAAUUUCUAUUGGGCAAAGAGAAUUUGUCAUCUUGAAGAAAAUAAUUGAGAGGCUGAUAGUUUAUUACUAGUCUCAACUUUCCACGGGCUUGCUCAGAUCUUUUGUUGACAUAGAAUGCUUCACAUGCCCAUUGUGAAUCUGAGGCUUCUAUCAAUCAUUCUAGUUGUAAUUGUUGACAUUCUUUUUCAGCUAGCUUGAGAUGAUCUGGAUUCAUUCCAACAUGACUAGCCUUGGUGGGAUUGAUAUCUUCGUUCUUCUUGAAAGGUAAUUUGAUGAAAAACUCUAAAUUUUUUCAUAAAGGAUGAUCGCAUUUUUUCAGAAAAUCUGAGUGAGAUUCUGCACAUGCCUUUUGUUUCAGUUCUUCAACAACUUGUUGUAUUUUGUUAGCAUCUAUAGUGAACAGUCUGGGGAUUGGUAUUAAGGGUUUGAACAUUUGUUUGUACCUCAAUCCUUCUGGUAAAAUUCUUAAUUGUUUGGCUUUAAGAUAUAAAUCAAAACUAACAAUAAGAUCUUUUCCAGGAAGCUUUGAUCCCAAUAUUGCUGUAGUGAUGGAGCAAUUGGGAAAGAACUGGAUCUUGAUGGGUUUGCUUUUUAGAUUUGUCGUAAAGACCUUUCCUGAUGCUGAACUAAAAUACCUAAUAUGGGGUUCCCAAUACUCAUCUAGGAGGAUUUCUGGGUUCAUGAUAGAUUCUGUGGCUCUAAUGUCUAUGAAGGCAAUUACAGUAAUAGGUCUACCGUAUUUACUCAAGUAGAUAGAAACUGGAAUAUGAGGAGCCAAAAUCUCAGUGGCCGUGGUAGCAAUUUGAGGGGUCCCUGAGAGAAAAUGACAGUCCAUUGGUGGUUGGAUCAUCAAUGAUUCAGAUGAAGAGGAUUCUGAGUCUUCUGGUAGUCACUAUCUGCGAAACUUUGAAUUGCACAUAUUGACUGAUUGUUUGGUUCAUCAUCAAUGGAGAACAAUGACUCAAUAUCAUCUCCUUCAGUUAUUUUAAUUCUCGACUUCUGCUGGAUUUGUCUGAUCACCUUUGCUCCUUUUUUGUUCUUUGGACAAUCUUUUGCAAAGUGACCUUUUUUGUUGCAGAUGUAACACCUCGUGGAUUUUUCUUUUUUGGAAAAUUUCUUCUUUUUGAGGUAUCUCCAUUGGUAUUUUCUUUUGGGAAUUGAUCUUGAAAACUUUCUUUCCUUUCAGAAAUGCUUCUUCUUCUUUGUGGGACAAUAACAUGAUUUGUCUUCCUUGCCACAUUUAAUUUUGAGGUGUGAGUCAGUACAGGCUUUGUCUAUCCUUUUGUCACCAUGAAGAUAAUCCUUGAAAACUUUUCUUCUAUUGCAAAUGUCUUCAAGGGCAAUAAAUGUUUCUUGCUAGAUUUCACCCAUGGUCAAAUUGAGGAUGUUUUUGUUUUGCCUGUAAAGAUUUUAAUUGAUCGCAGCUUGGAUAGGGUCUGGAAGGGAUGCAACAACGGCUUGUUUCAGACUUGGUUCUGAUCCAAGGGCAUAAAAGAGCUUCAUCAUAGCAUAAAAAUGCUUAGAUAAGUCUUUUUUCUGGUAGGAGCAACAUUUCCGUUUGAAGAAUUCUCGUCUCUUGAGUGUCAACAGAUCAUCAAGAUUACCAAUAAAAUAACUAUGGAUAAUCCUUAUAGCUUGAGAAAAAUCUGUUAAUACUAAGAAUUGUAGUUGAUCUGGUUGAGCUACUGAAUUCCACCAAUCCUUUAACAUUCCUGUGAAUCUUGAUACAAAUUCAGUCAGGAUGUUAUAAUGGCUUUCUUCUAUCAGCUUUCUGGUGUAAAGCAUUGAGUGGAAUUCUUGUAAUCUUUCUGGCCAUCUAUUGAUUGGAAUAUCGUCCAAAGUGAAAACCAUCUUUGUUGUAGAAACAUGUGGUGCUGAUCUCGCAUUUGAUGGUUCUCCUGCUUCAGUCAUUAGCUCUUAUUCAGAUACUUCUUCAACUUUUACACCAGGGGUGGCCAUUACAUCUGGUAACUCUUCUCUGUUUUCAGUGGUUCUUUCUUCUGAGAGAUCGUUGGAUUCACCAUCAGGUGAUUCUGAAUUAUCAAGACUUUCUGAUUCUUCUGAGGAGAAUACUGAUUCUUCUGGAAAAUCUGGUACUGGAGUUUUUUCUGAUUGUUGGUGGAGAACAGAUAUCUUUUGCAAGAUAUUAUGACUAUAAUCCCUCAAAAACCUAGUUAAAGGAUUAGAGUAUUUUUUGUCAUUUUGCAUCAUUAAUGACUUAGAUAUCUGUUUUGGUGGUGGAAAUGUUGGUGGUAAAGAGAAUUGACUUUCUUCAUAUUGUUUCUCCACUGGUCUUUUUCCUCUCGCCUUCUCCUUUUUUCUUUUUUCUUCUGUAGCCUUUCUUUUUUAUUCUUCAUUUUGUGCCUUGAUCUGUUGAUACAAAUCAUUGAUUGAGGCCUUCUUUUUUGGCUCAGGUGGAGGAAAAAUAAGCGGUUGUGUCCCAGUCGGUCAAGGUCUGUCAAACUGUCUUAUGGAUGGAAAAAGUUCAAUUUCAUUUCUUGAUGGUUGUGGUGGUGGCAGCUUUCCAUUUUCUUUCAGAUACUUGAUCUCUUCUUUAAGAUUCUGAAUUUCUUUUUUCUCUGUACAAGAUGAGAGAAUAAAUCCUGUCCUGGGGCAGCUGGUUCAUGAGCGACUUCUUUAAGCCUUUUUUGAAACAGCUUUAUGAGAUUUUUGAUCAUCUCAGCAUUUUCAUUAGUUGUUCUUUCAAUCUUUGAAACUUUGUUGUCAAUCUGCAUAACCUUAUGAUCAAUCUUCUUGAUUGCAGCGUUCUGGGAUAAGGCAUUUUCUGUCUGCCAAUUCAAAGUGGCUUCUGCUGCUGCUAUCUUGACUUGUUUUCCUUCUGCAUCUGUUUGGAGUUUUGAAGAAAUUUUUGGAAUAUGAAGAUAUUUAUUUUUUGUGAACUCUUCAAGUGGUGGAAAUUCUUGAUCAUAAGAAGAAGUUCUUGUGUACAUCCGAACUUCUGGGAUUGUCUGAACAGGUAUUGUUGCUGGAGUUGCUGCAAUUUUUUGUUCUUCUUGAUUGCCUGUCAUGAAUUGAUCAUUUUUCUGGAUCCAUUUAUUGAUUCUUUUGUAGCAUGGUUGCUUCAAGGGUUUAGCUAACCAUUUUUUGUCUGGAUCUGCUUUUGGAGGAGAUGGUGGAGGCAUUCGUGGUUGAUGUUGGACUUUAGGAGGCUGUGGCCUUUUUGCAGAAUAAUCUACAAGAUAGACAAAUUUGCCAUUAUCUUCUCCUAAAGGGCCAAUGUCUGGGUCUCCAUUCAUCCAUCUUUUAUAGAAAUUUGACUGCGUUGGUUUUUUGCCAUUUCUUUUUCGUCGGGUGUGUUUAAUGUCUUCAUCAAGUUCCUCAAAGAUAUCAUUUUUGCAUCCUUCACAGGAACAGUUGAUAUCCCAAGGACAAUGUCCUGAGGGAUCUUUAAAGCAAUAUAAAGGUUUCCCAUCAGACUGAAAGCUUUGAAUAAGUGCUGCUUCUGGUCCUGGUAUUGUUUCUUCCGGUGUUACUGGUUGUAACAUCAUUUGUGUGGUAAAAACAGGUGGAGUCGGGAGUUACUUUAAAUGACUGUGGCCAAAUCUGAUUUUACUGGUUCCAUCAGCUUUUGUGAUAAUCUGGCUUUUGGUAGAUCUAAUCGGCUGAUUGUGUUGAUGGAUCUGCUUGUGAUAAUCUUGCUUGGGUAUCUGCUUAGGUACAUGAAUACAAUGAGGCUCUUCUCUUGUAUUGACAGAAAUGAGAAGCGAAUCAUCAGAUCCUUGAUUGGUCAACUUAAAUACAUGAUCUUGAACCCUAUACACUAUCUGAUAAUGUAGGGUUGCUGAGACUGCUGAUUCAACCAUCUCUACACCAACUAUCUGGAUUUGUACUUUCAGUGUAUCUAGCAGAUUAGGAUCUUGUAGUGACAUGGUAAAGUUGGGGAAAAGUUUUACCAUAGCCAUUCCUGAACUCAACGUUGCUUCAACAGUUCCAAUACAAGCAUCUUGGUAACGCUUAUACCUUGAAUCAAUGAGGGCUAUUCUGGAUAUAACAGGUUUCCCUGAAGUUCCAUGAUAAUUAAGCGCCAGUUGUACUGCUCCAAAAUGAAUAUGAGAGUAACCAUGUUGGCACCAUUCCUGAGGGAAAUGAGAUGGGAUUUCCAGUGCGACUAACUGUUCUUCUUGUCCUCCAUAAAUAAGAUGUUUAUCAAAUUUAGAGGACUGGACAUAUUCUUUAACAGCUUUUCUUCUAGUGGUAAUAAGAGACUUGAUACUUUUUAUAGGUGAAAAGGAAGGCUUUUGAUAGGUAGAGUAUGGAUUUAUAAGAGGAAGAUUGGUAGCUUGAACUUUUUCUUCUUCUGUGAAGUAAUCAACUUCAUACAAAAAAGAAAUCUUUUUUGCAGAAUAGAAUUUAAAAGGUGAUUUUGGGAGAGAGAGAGGUGCUUUGCUAGUAGACAAUUGAGAAGAGGUUUCCAUAUAUGAGAAUUUUUCUUUUCCUUUCUGAAUCUGGAUUCUUAAUGAAAGAAAAUCUAAGAGUUACUGGCUCUGAUACCAUUACGGGCAGGUGAGUAAGAAGUUGAGAUAUCUGAGAUUAAUAGUUCAUAACAGCAGGUAUGCUAAGCCAAAACACAUGCCUUUUCCUCUUUUACGGCCAUCAACAAGGCUCUGCCUUUUAGCUAUUAAUCACCAUUAAUUCAGACUACUUCUUCAAACUCAACUGGACUUAAUGAUAUCUUUUAUCUUAAGUUUAAUUUCUAAUGUGCAGGAUCCAUAGUAUGACAAGCACAGAGCAUACUCUUAAACUCAUGAGAGAUUUUCUUUCAAAAAUAUUCCAUAUCCAGGCAGGAAAAGAUCAGAGAGGUUUAGAAAGACAUAUUUUAAUAAGCACACUAAUAUUUUAUUUUUGGUCGUAGUAGUUCUCCUUUUUUACAAUUGGGGUUCUUUCAUCCUUAUAUAGGUAUGAAAAGUUAUACGAGCAGAUAGAUAGGAAUCUGCUUUACAAAUAUACUAAUUACAGACAGGACUUAAAGGAAAGUAAAGGACAUGACUCAGCAGAUAGAUAGGAAUCUGCUUUACAAACAUACUAAUUACAGACAAGACUUAAAGGAAAGUAAAGGACAUGACUCAGCAGAUAGAUAGGAAUCUGCUUUACAAACAUACUAAUUACAGACAAGACUUAAAGGAAAGUAAAGGACAUGACUCAGCAGAUAGAUAGGAAUCUUAUCCUGAUGUCUCGGAUUCUGACCCAGUAGUGCCAUAAUCUGUGUCAAUGUCAGAUGUGAUGUUGAGCUCUAUUAUUUUCCUUUUCUUUUCUUCACGUGCUUCAUAACAUUUGAGCUCCGGUUGUUCAAUUCGUGUUUCGAGAUCAUCUGUGGUAUCACAUCAUUGUCAGUAAAAGGGGUUUUUGCUUUUGAAUUUUGGCUUGAUUAUUUUUUUCAUGAAUAUCUUUCCAGGCAGCUAUUUCUUGAAGAUCUUGGAAAUCUUGAAUAACUUGGCUGCAAUGCAUAGGAUAAUCUUGGGACCAAUCUUUAGGAUUUGGUAUAUUUGUCCAAUAUUCUUGAAGGGCUUGUCUCAACUGGUUUUAGUAUGGUGUUGGUGGAUUUCUUUGAACAUCCCAUGGUGCUUGUGAAUUUUCUGAAGGCCAUAUUUCUGAAGGGAUAAUCCUGUUAAUUUGACAUAAAUAUUUUUGUAAAUUCUUAAGAUCAAAAUGAUUUUCAUACACCUCAUCAAAAUAUGUUUUAUAGAUUCAUGUGCUGGAUAAGGCAGCAAGUUGUGUAGCUAGUCCAUGUUGCAUGAAGUAUUGAGGUUUGUAAAAAAUGAUUACGAUCCAUUGGACACGUGUGUUUUUGAGAAACUCAAACAUGAGCAUAUCUUGCCAUUGUUCCAAAGUAUAUUAUCAGAUUUCUACCUACCAAUGAUGAAAGCCCCUUAGGCUUCAUCAAUGUAACUCUCCAAAGCACCCCACAUUUUGUAAACAAGAAUUUUAACAAUGAUUUUGUACAACACAUUACACAAAUUGAUUGGUCGAAAUUAAGUCAUGUUUUUCAGUUUACUGACUUUCAGAAUUCAAACAAUAUGAGUCUUAUUAAUAUCUUUUAAAUCGAUCUUACCAUUUAACAUAACCAAGAAAUAGGUAGUAAUUUUAUUCCUUAAAAUAUGCCAAUUUUUUUUUAUAAAAUAUAGCAGGAAAACCAUCAAUACCUGAAGCCUUGAGAGGUGCCAUAAUUUUGAUAGUAGCCCAUACUUCCUUCGUUUGAAAAGGUGUCAACAAAUCCUUAUUCAUUUUCAGGGGAACACACCGUUGGAUAUUAGCAUAAAUACACGAUGCAUCCUCCAAAGUUGACAGUAAGCAUAGUGCAUUUGGGUCCAUCCUUAUCGCGCUGAUUUUUGUUUCCAUAAGAAACAAAAUUUGGGAACGAAUAUCUCUCAGUUUAUUCUUGAGACGAUUCAUAGCCCGUGAUUUCUUUAGACCACGAACAUUCCAGUUUAAGGUUUUCAUUGUGCCCGAUUGUGCUCGAACAUCCAGUCUGGAUUUAAUCCUCAUAAACCUUUUCAUUUCUGACACCACCAUUUUCGCAUCAUAGUCAAGAAAUGUCUCUAAGAAAAUCCCAAACUUCUGCGCCAUUGACUCCAACAGAAGUCCUAGAGGCAAGUCAUGUACCUAAACGCAAAACUUCGCAUAAAUCAACGGGGCCAUAAACGAGUCCUCCCCUAGUUGAAACUUGUGUAGAAUAAGCAAAGGGUUAUUAAAAAACCAUGGUGUCCCUUUCAGCAGCUGAUUCAUAUCCACCUCAUAGGAAAAUCGAAACAGACAUCGCUUGUCACCAAUAUCUGUAAUGGAGAAGCCCCUUAAAGGGUGCCAUAAAUUAGCCAUUUUGUUCCUCAUUGAAGGAAAAUGCACUAUGCUUACUGUCAAAUAGCUUACCACCAAACAUAGUUUAUCCUGGAUCUGGAAAGGUUCCUCCUCACCAUCAAUUAUGUACAGAUUAGCCAACUCUUCCUCCAUUAUUCUCUUAUUGAGGAAGACUAAAAACGUGCCAAUCAGCAGUUGAAAAAACACUCCAAACGGCAGAUAAGAACCAACACCUAAUUAGAUAAACAUUAUUUUUAUGUAUUGUUUUCUCCUUCUAGGAUUUGAUUCAGUUUUUAGAAACUACUAACAUCAUUCUCUAUAUAACAUCACUUUUAUUUAUAUAUUGCACACACAAAUAAUUAUACUUAUCUAAUAUAAAAAUAAAUUGGUGUAUUUUUUUUAAAAUGUACAAUUGUAUCAAAAUCAAAAUUUCAUUUAUUAAUUUGAACCACAUUCAAAGUUUAUUGUGUAUAAUUGCACCAAAUCAAAGUUUUUGUAUCAAAUUACACAUUGAACCAAAGUUCAUAUAUAGUCUUAAUAUAUUUUUGUUUCCAAUUCAUAAGUUUGACUCGAAUUAAUAACGUCGAUCAACUCAAUAUUAUUAUAAGGCUUAAUGCAUGAUUUGACUAUAAAAUUAUACCAUUUUAUCACUUUGCUAGCUAAAAUUUUUUUAGUUUGGGUUGAUAACUAAAGUUAUAUUUUAUUACCCAAUUUGUUGGCAUGUGGCUCCUAUUAGAAUGUGUUAUGUGAUACCUAAGGUCAAUUAAAACACGACAUGUGGCACCCAUGUAUAUUGAAAUUAAAUAUAUAUAAUUUCUGAAUAAUUCUAAUAUAUAUAAAUUGAAAGAAAUAAAAUAUUUAAAUAAUUAAAUAUUUUAGAAAACUUUGUUGAUUUUGACCCAAUUGACUUUAAGUAACUCUAGUUGAUUGGUUAUUGAUCGAGGAUGACUAAUUCUUGAUUGAACUUGACAGGUUGUUGAUUGGUAUUGGCUGAAUUUAAAAAAAAUAGAUUUUUUUUUAGAAAUUAUAUAUUUUAUUUUUAAGUUUUUGAAAUUUUUUUUAAAAGUUAUUAAAAUUUCUCUAAUAUAAUAUAUAUGAAUUUUAAGCUUUCGUAAUUAGUAAUUUUCAAAUACUUAACUAUUUUUUUGAAUUUUUAUAAUUUUUGAGUAUAUUUUUGAGUUUAUUGAAAAAAUAUUUUUUAAAUUAUUGCAAGAUUUCUAGAGUUUAUAUAUAUUUUUAAUUUUAUGAAGUUUAAAUAAAAAUUUUUGUUAUAAAUAUAUUAAAAUUUGAUGUCCAUAACCUCUUAAAACCCUUCAUUAAAUUAUGAGAGAAAACUCUUCCCUUUCAUUCACGAGAUUGGAAAAUGCAAGAGUAAAGUGGAUGUUUCAAUGAAGAAAUUAAGCCUUCAUUUAUAUGUACUUAACUAAAUGUUAGAAGGCUUAAAAAUGAGCCUCUUGUAAGUGAAAAGAAAUAUACGAGCAAGUUCUUUAGUGUCUUUUGCUUGCUGUUUAGUUUUUACUUGUUAGUAUUUUAUUUAUUUUGAUUAUUCUAUAACAUGCUGUCGACAUGAUAAAAUAAUAAGGUUUGAACCUAUGUUACCGGUUGCAAUUCAAAGCUCGUGACCAUCGUAGAAAAUGAAUCCCAUGAAGGUUUAUCGUUUAGAUGGGGAUCAUUUAACCCACGAGAACUAAUCCGAUUCAAAGAACUGUUGAAGAAGCCUAUCCAUUUAAAGCCUGGGUGGCCCAAUGAUGCGGAUAUGGAAAGUUAGGUUACCUUGGUAAAUAGGGAAACUGAUCAUAGAAGAUUGAAUAGAAUAACAUCUUGUAAGAUUAGAUUAGAUUUGAUUAUAUAGUCUUGUAAAUCCCUUGAUUGUAGGGAUAGAUUUCAUCUUGUUCGUUGAUGUAAUUCGAUCUAUAUCAUCAGUUAUG
RNAcentral lists this long non-coding RNA (21755 nucleotides) under Gossypium barbadense (sea-island cotton). RNAcentral describes it as "long non-coding RNA (GBAR_LNC015076)". Lineage: Eukaryota; Viridiplantae; Streptophyta; Magnoliopsida; Malvales; Malvaceae. The record is from RNAcentral.